UCCUUAGAUGUCCGGGGCUGCACGCGCGCUACACUGACUGGCUCAGCGUGUGCCUACCCUACGCCGGCAGGCGCGGGUAACCCGUUGAACCCCAUUCGUGAUGGGGAUCGGGGAUUGCAAUUAUUCCCCAUGAACGAGGAAUUCCCAGUAAGUGCGGGUCAUAAGCUUGCGUUGAUUAAGUCCCUGCCCUUUGUACACACCGCCCGUCGCUACUACCGAUUGGAUGGUUUAGUGAGGCCCUCGGAUCGGCCCCGCCGGGGUCGGCCCACGGCCCUGGCGGAGCGCUGAGAAGACGGUCGAACUUGACUAUCUAGAGGAAGUAAAAGUCGUAACA
Molecule: ribosomal RNA, 334 nt
Filed under: uncultured eukaryote
Lineage: Eukaryota
Description: partial 18S ribosomal RNA
Rfam family: Eukaryotic small subunit ribosomal RNA
Source: RNAcentral